ACGGGGCAGCAUCCGGCGGCAGCGGAGCCUGUGGCUCCCCCUGCGGGCUGCUCAGCGGCGUGCACAGUCCUGCCGGCUGGCUUGGGUGGGUGGUGGGCUGCGGGUAGGGGAGGGGAUGGACCGAGUCCCGGGUUGUCGGGAUGAGGGUUCGGGAAGGUCUGGCCAGUAAGAUUCUACUCCCUGGCUGUGCACCGGGUUCCCUACCCCUGUCUACGUCGGCUCCGCCACUUCGCGGCUUGAGACUAAAAGAGCAUCCCGGCAGGGGGCCUUCCAGCCCCAAAGCAGCCUGUCCAGAGACCCCCAAAUUCUGAUCCUGAAGUUGGAGGCCUCCGGGGAUGUUCUUUUUUAAUCUUUUAGAAGGGUUAGAGGGGUUGAGGCUGCCUGACCCCAGCCUAAUGGGGUAGGUAGGCCUUGGGAAGUGGAGCAUGGGGGCAAAGGAUCCAAGCAUUGAGCCUUCAUCCUCUAUUCCCCAUCCAGUGGGGUGCCGAGGCUCAGGCAGCAUGACGACGGAGACCUUUGUGAAGGAUAUCAAGCCUGGGCUCAAGAAUCUGAACCUUAUCUUCAUUGUGCUGGAGACAGGCCGAGUGACCAAGACAAAGGACGGGCAUGAGGUUCGGACCUGCAAAGUGGCGGACAAAACAGGCAGCAUCAAUAUCUCUGUCUGGGACGAUGUUGGCAAUCUGAUCCAGCCUGGGGACAUUAUCCGGCUCACCAAAGGGUACGCUUCAGUUUUCAAAGGUUGUCUGACACUAUAUACUGGCCGUGGGGGUGAUCUGCAGAAGAUUGGAGAAUUCUGUAUGGUUUAUUCUGAGGUUCCUAACUUCAGUGAGCCAAACCCAGAGUAUAGCACCCAGCAGGCACCCAACAAGGCGGUGAGUCCUGUGGCCACAAUGGUGGGAAAGGAGGGCAGAUCAAGACAAGAAGCAUGGGAGGGAGCAGGAUCUGAAUAUGUAAUCUGUGCCUUCAGGUGCAGAACGACAGCAACCCUUCAGCUUCCCAGCCUACCACUGGACCCUCUGCUGCCUCUCCAG
This 1031-nucleotide small RNA is filed under the name Pan troglodytes (chimpanzee). Its description in RNAcentral is "retained intron". The record is from RNAcentral. Lineage: Eukaryota; Metazoa; Chordata; Mammalia; Primates; Hominidae.